CCAACUAGUGAAUACUCUGGGAAAACAACUUUAGAAUAAGUGCUUAGAAGGUGGGUUAAGAAUACUUCACUGAAAUGAUGCAGAAGAUGCCAGAUCCACAAACGAGCCCUGCAAACAACUCUCAGUUGCUGUGGAUACCCAUCCUCUCCCUGCACUUUUUUUUUUGUUUAGGGGGAGGUGCCACCAAACUCAUUCUGGUCCCAAAUUGUUUUGUGAAACAAGUGAAACUUCUAGAGGAUUGAAGGAGACUGAAGGAGACCUGGUUUCCAGUGGGUGCUCUCCUCACUGCUGCUGCAGUCUAUGCAACAGGUAGGUUGGAGUGACGCCUAGCUCAUCUCUUUGUUGUUGAACCUAAGUCCAAGGACAAUGAGAUGUGGGAGGGGAGUGUCCUGGACGGGACAGGACAGUGGAGACACACUGCCUGGUUCACACCUAAUAUCUUCAUCAGCAUCAACAGCUUCUUCACCCCUUUCUCCAACAUUCACUAAAAGCACAGGGCUUUACAGGAUCAUCUUGAAGUUGAGGGCUUUGACCCAUCAGGACAGCAACCCAAACAAAGAGGAACAUCUUUGGACACUCAACUAGUCAACUCCUGCUCACCUACUUGCUGGGCUUCAUGAAUCUACUAUGAAGUUUACCUAAGUCCUGGUGGUUGAAGGUGAAGCUAAUUCAGGACAAAAGUUUACUAAGAGAAAUUGCAGUGGAUCUUGUAGUGUGCUUCUGACUAGACAAGGGAGGAGGGCGAGGGUGGGAGCUACAAACCUGCUGCAGAGCUCCAGUUCUUUGUUUGCUCCGAGAACUUGAACAAAAGGAAAAGUCUGAAGAACUCUUUAUCUGCAUCUCUAUCUGGAAUCAGCCCUUUUCCUUCAAGCCCUUCUGUGGUUGUCUUCUUCAAAAACUUCUCUAGCAUGAGGGACCUCAAUAUCAUUGUUACCUGCAAGUCACAAAGGGGCUUGACUCCAGAAGUUUCUUGUUUGAGAGAGCUUCUCAUGGAUCUGUUAAAGAUGCAAGAGGCAAAUGGUGAAUUUGGUUUCCAAAUACGUUACCUUUAAGCGCUCGUUAUAAAAUAUGAAGAUCUGGGUUCUGAGCCCAGGAUUUUUUUAAAUCGUGCUUUGGAUUGAACUGGUUCUGCACAGUUGGAUUAUACAGCGUUUUGGCUUUGGGAUCUGCCGAACACUUCCACUUGGAUUAAAGAAUAAGCUUCACCCUAGUGACAAUGUGACAUUACUAAGGUGAUUCAGUUUUUCCAGUUUGGCUGGUUAAGGGGUUGGUGACAUCAUGACUUCUCACGAAAGGCAAGAAGAUGCUUAAAGACUUCUGCAUAUAGAAACUCUGGCUUGGCUGCAAUGAAAAAAGAGGGGGGCACUCUUCCAAAUCACCAGAGCUAGUGGAGAACAAGAUGUUUCACACUGUUAUCCUUGGAGGAGAAAUCUACUGAACUACAGGUCUGACACUGGUGUAACAGUUUAUCAAGAACAAACUCUGAGGCUGAAAAUUCACUGACACAAUUGGAUCUUCCACCUUUAUUAUCGGGGCAAUUGUCAACCUUUGGACAUAAACCAGAAUGUUUUCAUCCACUCAUGGUACUCAUGAGCCAGCUUGGAUUCCAACCUAUCAGAUGAAUAUGCUUCCCACACGAGAUCUGCAGACUGCACCACUUGGCAUCUGUUACCAGACUCUUAAAAACCUGUGUGUGGGAGAAACAGUUGUCACAAUAGGAACAAUUAAGUCUAAUGCGAAUCUAUGGAAGAAUGUUUAUUAACCACACAGAAGAGGCUGAAAAUCAGAAGAACAACCUAUAGAAUUGUGAAGGCGUUUUGUGAGCCUUGAAAAAAUAAAAUGCUGCUAUCCAAUGUAUACAGUGUCUAUCCGAUAUUACAAUCAAGUUUAUUUGUAUAUGUUGUAAUAUAUAAAUGCACAUUACAGCUUACGAUUGUUUUCAUUUAGUCAUAAGUCAAUGUAUUAUUUGAAUUUCUAUUAAGCAGUAUUAUGCAAAGGAAUGGAUGGGCACAAGCAGCCAAGCUCCCUCUCCCCAAGCAAGAAUACAGUCCUUUUGGUUUACAGUAAUUCAUCAUUGAUUAACCACUUAUGUCUCUCUAAGGGUCAAUCAGUAAUUGUGAGACAUAGAUCUCUACAGCUCGGUCCCUUACAUACAAUAGUGGGAAGCCGCUAUAAAGUUCCAGGAAAACAGAAGCAUGGUUUGUCUAAAUGCUCCAGAUUUAAGUUAUUGUUUAUGUAUCAAUGAGCAUUUUUCUUGUGAAGUUUAAUAAAUUAUGUAUGUUUUUUGUAUAUAAAGGACAUAAACUGCAUUCAUGUGUAAGUUAAAUGCUUUACAAUGGCCCUUUGAGGCAUAGAAUGGACUUUAUCCUUCUUCUAUCAAUGUCCUGGUAAAAUUACUUUGACAUCUUUGUGUAGUCAGGUGGAUAAAAAAAACAGGACUGAAACUUAAAAAGGAUUUAGUGAAAGUGUAACCGUAUCAUAAUCUUUCAAAGAGAAUAUGUCGGGUAUCAUUUUUGUUUUAGCAAAUAUUUCUAUUACCCCUGAAAUAAUGCUGGAACAUUUUUUUCUUAGAACUCAAUAUUUUGCCAUUCCUCUGUUAAUUCUCUAGGACAGUAAUGUUCUACAUACAAUGCUUAGGAAACAAUGGCUACAAACUUAUGGCAUCUAGGGAUAAUUUGGAUCUGGUUGCAGUAAAUGAGACAUGGUUCAAUGAUUGUAAUGACUGGGAAAUCGCCAUACCUAGUUACACACUGUACAGGAAAGACAGAGAAGACAGAAGAAGUGGUGGAGUAGCCGAUUAUGUCAAGGGUAUUCUUAAUUCAGGAGACAAACAAAGUGGUGGAAAUGCUUUGGAUUUGCAUGAAAACAAAAUAGGGAACUGUGGCCUCCAGGGCAAAGUGAGAAUUAUCACAACAAGUUGGUGGAGGAAAUUUCUCAAAUAGCUGAAAAGGGAAAUAUUGCAGUUAUGGGUGACUUCAACACACCUGGUGUAGGCUGGAAUAUCUCUUGUGCUCUUUCAUGCAAGAGCAGGAGUAUAAUUGAAGCUCAUCAAGAGAAUGCCAAGAGUGUGCAAAGCAGUAAUCAAAGCAAAAGGUGGCUACUUUGAAGAACCUAGAAUAUGACAUAUUUUCAG
Long non-coding RNA from Bufo gargarizans (Asiatic toad), 3133 nucleotides. RefSeq lists it as uncharacterized. NCBI's taxonomy places the organism in Eukaryota, Metazoa, Chordata, Amphibia, Anura, Bufonidae. The record is from RefSeq and is a predicted model, not a curated record. The transcript is spliced from 8 exons.